This 468-nucleotide ribosomal RNA is filed under the name uncultured bacterium. RNAcentral describes it as "partial 16S ribosomal RNA". It matches the Rfam family "Bacterial small subunit ribosomal RNA", at positions 28 to 507 of the family's 1533-position model. The record is from RNAcentral.
GACGAACGCUGGCGGCGUGCUUAACACAUGCGAGUCGAACGGAAAGGCCCUGCUUUUGUGGGGUGCUCGAGUGGCGAACGGGUGAGUAACACGUGAGUAACCUGCCCUUGACUUUGGGAUAACUUCAGGAAACUGGGGCUAAUACCGGAUAGGAGCUCCUGCUGCAUGGUGGGGGUUGGAAAGUUUCGGCGGUUGGGGAUGGACUCGCGGCUUAUCAGCUUGUUGGUGGGGUAGUGGCUUACCAAGGCUUUGACGGGUAGCCGGCCUGAGAGGGUGACCGGCCACAUUGGGACUGAGAUACGGCCCAGACUCCUACGGGAGGCAGCAGUGGGGAAUAUUGCACAAUGGGCGGAAGCCUGAUGCAGCAACGCCGCGUGCGGGAUGACGGCCUUCGGGUUGUAAACCGCUUUCGCCUGUGACGAAGCGUGAGUGACGGUAAUGGGUAAAGAAGCUCCGGCUAACUACGUG